This 440-nucleotide ribosomal RNA is filed under the name uncultured bacterium. Its description in RNAcentral is "partial 16S ribosomal RNA". It matches the Rfam family "Bacterial small subunit ribosomal RNA", at positions 338 to 795 of the family's 1533-position model. The record is from RNAcentral.
CCUACGGGUGGCAGCAGUGGGGAAUAUUGCACAAUGGAGGAAACCCUGAUGCAGCGACGCAGCGUGAGUGAAGACGUCUUUCGGUAUUUAAAACUCUAUCAGCAGGGGAGAAAAUGACGGUACCUGAUUCAGAAGCCCCGGCUAACUACGUGCCAGCAGCCGCGGUAAUACGUAGGGGGCAAGCGUUAUCCGGAUUUACUGGGUGUAAAGGGAGCGUAGACGGGAGCACAAGUCUGGAGUGAAAUGCCGGGGCUUAACCCUGGAACUGCUUUGGAAACUGUGCAGCUAGAGUGCAGGAGAGGUAAGUGGAAUUCGUAGUGUAGCGGUGAAAUGCGUAGAUAUUAGGAGGAACACCAGUUGCGAAGGCGGCUUACUGGACUGUAACUGACGUUGAGGCUCGAAAGCGUGGGGAGCAAACAGGAUUAGAUACCCGAGUAGUC